RNAcentral lists this transfer RNA (69 nucleotides) under Sacalia quadriocellata (four-eyed turtle). RNAcentral describes it as "tRNA-Met". It matches the Rfam family "tRNA". From Rfam's summary of the family: Transfer RNA (tRNA) molecules are approximately 80 nucleotides in length. The record is from RNAcentral. Lineage: Eukaryota; Metazoa; Chordata; Testudines; Geoemydidae.
AGUAAAGUCAGCUAAUUAAGCUCUUGGGCCCAUACCCCAAAAAUGUCGGUUUAAAUCCCUCCUAUACUA